GUUGACAUCAGCAAACCGCUCACCCACACAACGCCCUACACCCUGUCUGCCAUCUGUCCUUUACAGUGAAAACCGGGAUUCAUCGAUGAAGAGAACACCCCUCCAAAGUGCCAGACACCAUCGAAUGUGAACAUUUGCCCACUCAAGUCGGUUACAAUGACAAACUGCAGUCAGGUCGAGACCCACGAUGAGGAACGACGAGCAUGCAGAUGAGCUUCCCUGAGACAGUUUCUG
Molecule: non-coding RNA, 234 nt
Organism: Pelobates cultripes (western spadefoot toad)
Lineage: Eukaryota; Metazoa; Chordata; Amphibia; Anura; Pelobatidae
Source: the annotation of a GenBank genome assembly